UUUCUUCCAUCCUUAUUUCCUUACUUACCUACCUCCUUCCUUCCUUAUUUCUUUAUUUCCUUCCUUACCUCCUUCCUUCCUCACUUCCUUUUCUUCCUUCCUUCCUUAAUUACUUCCUUCCUCCCUUAUUUCCUUCCUAAUUUACUUCCUUCCUUACCCCCUUUCCUUCCUUCCUCCCUUCCUUACCUCCUUCUGUCUUUCCUUCCUUCCUUCUGUCAAUCCUUCCUUCCUAACUUUACUCCUUCGUUCCUUAUUUCUUUAUUUUCUUCUUUCCUUCCUUCCUCACUUCCUUUCCUUCUUUCCUUCCUUCCUUCCUUACCUCUUUCCUUCCUUCCUCCCUUCCGUCCUUACAUCCUUCCUUUCUAAAUUCUGGUUUUGUCCUGAUUUUAGUCCUGGUUUUGACCUGGUUAUAGUUGUUUUAGUUCUGAUUUUAGACCUGAUUUUAGACCUGGUUUUAGUCCUGGUUUAGUCUUGGUUUUUGUUGCGAUAUAAUUUUACAGCUCAUACAAGCACACACAAUUACGAUUUCAAUACUGUUGCAGAUGUGUACAGAUGUGGACCAUUAUUUUUUCUUCACGUGUGUGUCGUGGCUCCCAGUGGCUCUUUGGCGCCCCCCCUCACCUACUGAAAACCUCUGUGAUAUAUGAUACAUAUAUAUAUGGCCUAGCCCUCGGGUGUAACUUUAGUUGCCAUAUACUAAGGAAACAUGAUAUCAUAGAGAGCCUUUUUGGGUUUAAAGAGUAAGUAAGUAAGUAAGUCUUUAUUUAUAUAGAGCUUUUCACAGACAUUUUGUCACAAAGACGCUUUACAGAGUAUUAUUCAUUCACUCUAUACCUAUAUAAGAGGGUGUAUUAUGCAAAAUCUACUACUACGACUACUCUGGAACCUUCUGCCAUGUUACAAUGUCCCAUUAUACAUAAAACAUGUCUAAAAAGUCAUCCAUGCCUAACUAAUCUAGUGAUCUAUCCCAGGCACUAUUUUAACCUUUCUUAUGGUUAGUAGAUUCAUUCUAUCCAAUGUUAAGCCCACAAUAGAUACAAGAAGGAUACAGAAUAAUCCACUACAAUUUGACAAACAUGCUGUGCAGUAGUGUCAUUAGCAGGACACAUGCAAGAGCAAGGACGCGGCUAUAGAAAAAAAAUUGUAUGUGUGUUAACAGGUAAUAAAAAUAUGUGUAUUUAAAAAAAAAGUAUAAUAAUAAUCAGGCAUGAUUAUGAAUGUCUACAGAAUGGUCAGUAGGAAGGUGGACUUAGCUGAAUUAAAAUAAUUAAAACUGAAUUUAACAUUAGAAUAAUACAAAACUGGAGGUAAGCAUUUGUAAGGAAGGAACUUGUGAUAGAAAAAGCUCAAAAAUUUCACAUGGAGUAAACUUUUUGGCUCUUUCUCUUAGUAAACUCACACACCCUGAUCGGCCACCUUCCUACGCUUUGUGGGCGGUUCCUUUGUAUAUCCUAUUAUCAACACAUCCUCAUCCUCCCAUCCUGGAACACAGACAUACCUCAGAGAAGGACCAUCAAACUCUACACAGCAUGAAAGUCUAUGAGAAAGAUGAAUGGGCAAUAUAAGAGAGUGGGCGACCACAGCUGAGCUCCAUAAAUACUUCCCUUUCCAUGCACACGACCCCCUCCUCUGGGGGGAUCCGAAGGCGUUCCCAGGCCAGCCCAGAGACAUCAGUCCCUCAAGCAUGUCCUGGGUCUUCCCCAGGGCCUCCUCCUGGUGGGACGUGCCCAGAACACCACCCAAGGGAGGCAUCCAGGAGGCGUCCAUUUCGGCUGCUUGUAUCCGCGAUCUUGUCAUUUCGGUCAUUACCCAAAGCUCAUGACCAUAGGUGAGGGUAGGAACGUAGACAUUGACCGAUAAAUCAACCCUCUUCACCACAACGGUCCAAUACAGCGACCGCAUCACUGCCGACACUACAUCGAUCCACCUGUCAAUCUCAUGCUCCAUCCUCCCCUCAUUCGUGAACAAGACCCCGAGAUACUUGAACUCCUCCACUUGAGGCAAGGACUCUCCACCCACCCGGAGAGGGCAAGCCACCUUUUACCAGUUGAGAACCAUGACCUCGGAUUUGGAGGAGCUGAUCUUCAUCCCAGUCGCUUCACACUUGCCUGUAAACCGCCCCAGUGCAUGUUGAAGGUCCUGGUUUGAUGAAGCCGCCAGGACAAAAUCAUCUGCGAACAGCAGAGAUGAGAUCCUGUUGUCCCCAAACUGGAACCCCUCCGGAUCCCCUGACCAGGAUCAAACCUGAACUAAACCAGGUCUAAAACAGGUCCACACAAGGUCUAAACCAGAACUAUACCAGGACUAAAUCAGGACUAAACUACGGUUGUGUUCUCAUUUGCACGUUGACCACAUCAGAAUUGGGUCUAAACCAGGUCUAAAGCAAGAUUAAACCAGAACUAAACUAGGACUAAACCAGGUCCGAAACACUGGUCCCGUCUGCUCCUCCAAAUCUAGAAUCCACAACACCUAAAUCUGAUCAAUGGAAGCUACAAGAACGUGGAUUUAUUUUGGAGGUAAACAUUAAGAGAUGACAUUCAGACAAAUAAAUUCUGUUAUGAACCAUGUUAACUGAAAAUGUCACUCCCCUGCCUGU
Molecule: long non-coding RNA, 2596 nt
Organism: Boleophthalmus pectinirostris (great blue-spotted mudskipper)
Lineage: Eukaryota; Metazoa; Chordata; Actinopteri; Gobiiformes; Gobiidae
Exons: 3
Source: RefSeq, a predicted model, not a curated record